GGGGGCGUAACGGCUUCGACGUGUUAUUGUGAGCGUUGAGAGCAUGCCGAGCUUCGAUUGAGUGUUCGUUAAAUAAUCGAUCAAACAAUAAGUGCAGAACAAACAGCACAACCAGUUCAAACUAUGGUGGGCUUCGCCUAAAAUAGUUUAGAACGGCUUAUUAAUUAGACGUGCCUGUCAGUUUGAUUAAUUCGUAUUAUAAAAGAUGGGACUACCGAGUGAGGUUGAGCAGCCUGGUAGCUCGGAGCAGUAUCACCAUAGUUGCCGUAUGUAGCGUGCACUGUCUUGGAGGUGUUACAUACGUAUAUUCUGAGACUAAGCAUGUAGUGCUUGCCGUUUUCCAUAGUGCGGACAUGGGUUCGACUCCCAUCGCCUCCACCA
Molecule: transfer-messenger RNA, 381 nt
Filed under: Candidatus Babelota bacterium
Lineage: Bacteria
Also listed under: 2 other names
Description: Candidatus Dependentiae bacterium transfer-messenger RNA
Rfam family: transfer-messenger RNA
About the family: Bacterial tmRNA, also known as 10Sa RNA or SsrA, is named for its dual tRNA and mRNA-like properties. Its role is to liberate the mRNA from a stalled ribosome. To accomplish this part of the tmRNA is used as a reading frame that ends in a translation stop signal.
Source: RNAcentral